This 315-nucleotide small RNA is filed under the name Drosophila ananassae. RNAcentral's name for it is "GF27436". The record is from RNAcentral. Lineage: Eukaryota; Metazoa; Arthropoda; Insecta; Diptera; Drosophilidae.
AUUUACUGCAUGCACUACCAAAUUUUGAAUUAUUUUCGUUUCGCAAAGUCUGGACAAUUAAAGUUUACUCACUCGCCAAAUCUGAAACAGCUGUCUACUUGCACUUGGCUCCUGCUUCUGGAAUAUUAUGCGGUUCGCAUAGCAAGUCCAUUUACAAUGACUAAUCCCGCCCCAAACAAAAAUAUUGCAAGUGGCACAGAAAGUGGGUCGGAAACCUUUGUCUUAGUGCGGGUGUAAUUUACAUAAGUGACUUUAUGAAUACCCUUAGUGGAGCGUAUGUAAAUAAAACUGGAACUAUAUACAAUUUUUGUAUUA